GGGAGGAGGGAGCAGGCGUUCCUCUGCUGCUGAAGAGGGCUGUGGAAACUUAAGUCAUAGACAUGCUUCAGUGAGAGGAUGAGGAUUUGCCCAGAUGGGAAGCUUCAAGUGCAGAGGCACUUGUACAUCUACUUAUCUUGAGUCUCAAUGAUGCUGUUUAUGAGUGAGCUAUUCAAAUGGAGGAAGAAACCCACGGAGAAGGAGAAAUAACAGGUCGGAGUGAUUAUGUACAGAAGGAUAGGCUCUAGCAGGAGUCCAGUGGGAAAGAAGGAAGGGAAUACAAUUAAGAAUUAUUAAUGGCAGAUCUCUAAUGAUUUCACUGGAUCCAAAGGAACAGGGCAAUACUGAGUAAGAAACACUUGAUAUACGAAAAAAGCGUGAGUGCGAAGGAAAAUACAUCAUUCUACAGAUGUUGACGGACUCUGACGGUGGGAAAGCGUCCCUCAAGAUUGAAUUGGAGUAGAAGCUGACCCUCCCACUUGCCCAGAGAUCCCCUAGCUGGAUACGAUUUCAGCAAUAGAACACUUGAUCAUCACAGUGCUUGGCAUAUAGAGAAAACAAAAAAAUCCAAAUGUGU
RNAcentral lists this long non-coding RNA (577 nucleotides) under Homo sapiens (human). RNAcentral describes it as "HSALNT0293635". Lineage: Eukaryota; Metazoa; Chordata; Mammalia; Primates; Hominidae. The record is from RNAcentral.